This is a non-coding RNA of Caenorhabditis brenneri, 72 nucleotides long. The record is from Rfam. Lineage: Eukaryota; Metazoa; Nematoda; Chromadorea; Rhabditida; Rhabditidae.
CAGUUUUUGUACUUCACAAGAGUACUGGCGGUUCAGGUCCGGCUCAGAACUUUUGUGGGGUGCAAGAACAGC